UACAGAGGGAGCUAGCGUUGUUCGGAAUCACUGGGCGUAAAGCGCGCGCAGGCCGCCAUAUAAGUCAGAUGUGAAAGCCCGGGGCUUAACCUCGGAAUUGCAUUUGAAACUGUGUGGCUAGAGUAUGGUAGGGGAUAGGGGAAUUCCUAGUGUAGCGGUGAAAUGCGUAGAGAUUAGGAGGAACACCAGUGGCGAAGGCGCCUAUCUGGGCCAUUACUGACGCUGAGGCGCGAAAGCGUGGGGAGCAAACAGG
RNAcentral lists this ribosomal RNA (253 nucleotides) under uncultured bacterium. RNAcentral describes it as "partial 16S ribosomal RNA". It matches the Rfam family "Bacterial small subunit ribosomal RNA", at positions 524 to 776 of the family's 1533-position model. The record is from RNAcentral.